This 257-nucleotide long non-coding RNA is filed under the name Mytilus galloprovincialis (Mediterranean mussel). The record is from RNAcentral. Lineage: Eukaryota; Metazoa; Mollusca; Bivalvia; Mytilida; Mytilidae.
UGGCCGGGAUACGAACUCAUGCUACUGAGAUAAUUUGGCACCAAAUUGCAGUGCACUAUGCCCGACGCUAGACCACUCGACCACCUAGGUUCUACAUUAAUAAAGCUUUUGCUGGCCAGAUGUUACCUUUCCUCGUUAGUUUUGAUCUAGCGUCGUAACACGGUAUAUGAUAUAUACAAAAAUGUAAGUCAUGACGAUGGAGUUUUUACAGAUAUUAAACUGAAUUAUAAAUAUUUUUAAAAAAAAUAUAUUAUCUC